RNAcentral lists this ribosomal RNA (419 nucleotides) under bacterium. Its description in RNAcentral is "partial 16S ribosomal RNA". It matches the Rfam family "Bacterial small subunit ribosomal RNA", at positions 355 to 776 of the family's 1533-position model. The record is from RNAcentral.
UGGGGGAUAUUGCACAAUGGGCGAAAGCCUGAUGCAGCGACGCCGCGUGGGGGAUGAAGGCCUUCGGGUUGUAAACUUCUUUUGCUCUGAACAAGGCAUGCUAAUGGGUGUGUUGAGUGUAGGGGUUGAUUAGCGCCGGCUAACUACGUGCCAGCAGCCGCGGUAAUACGUAGGGCGCGAGCGUUGUCCGGAAUUAUUGGGCGUAAAGGGCUUGUAGGUGGCUGGUUGCGUCUGUCGUGAAAGCUCAUGGCUUAACUGUGGGUUUGCGGUGGGUACGGGCUGGCUUGAGUGCAGUAGGGGAGGCUGGAAUUCCUGGUGUAGCGGUGGAAUGCGCAGAUAUCAGGAGGAAUACCGGUGGCGAAGGCGGGUCUCUGGGCUGUUACUGACACUGAGGGGCGAAAGCAUGGGGAGCGAACAGG